RNAcentral lists this long non-coding RNA (242 nucleotides) under Hordeum vulgare. RNAcentral describes it as "long non-coding RNA (HVUL_LNC015074)". The record is from RNAcentral. Lineage: Eukaryota; Viridiplantae; Streptophyta; Magnoliopsida; Poales; Poaceae.
GUGAUGUUCAGUAGCAAUCUUCCUCACUUUCUCUUCAUGUUUUUUAAAAAGAUCCAGAAUGGCACUUUUCCUCUUCAUGUUCUACUUUGCAACUGCAAGUCUGCAAUUAUAUCCAAUGUGAAUGUGUGAUUAUAUCUUCACAGAGGCUGCAAUGAGAAAUCCUACAGCCAGAGAAAAAAAUGAAAGACCUAAAAAUCUGUUACCCAGUGUGCUUACCAGACAGAGGAGGGGAUCUACUACCG